AUGUACCUCAUAGUUGGGAUGUACCUUCUUCAGGUGUCAAAUGUGAUGUUGUACCUGGCCGUUCAAAUCUUACCUCCUCGGUACAACGAGAAAGAGUUUACUAUGGUCAGUGCAGUGAGAUUCAUGGAACUAAUCAUUCCUUUACGCCUAUCGUCGUAG
This 159-nucleotide ribosomal RNA is filed under the name Triticum aestivum (bread wheat). RNAcentral describes it as "partial small subunit ribosomal RNA". The record is from RNAcentral. Lineage: Eukaryota; Viridiplantae; Streptophyta; Magnoliopsida; Poales; Poaceae.